GGCUUGCUAGUUACUGCUUUCUGUCUGCCCUCCCAUGGACUGUUUUCCUCUGUGAUGCCUCUCUGUUGUGCCACCCUGCCUUGGAAUCAAUCAACUAUGGGCUGAAACCUCCACCAACUAUGAGGUACCUAUGCUGAUUCCAUAGUAGAACUAGUCUGCAUUGGGCUGCACCAUGGGUAUACAGGCAAGAGCUCCAGAGAAGACAGGAAUAGAGCAAUCAUUUGAAAAAGGAAGUUCUGGGCCGCCAACCACCUGGUCAGGCUGAUUAAUCUGCAUCAGAGGGGGGAGACAGUGUUUUUAUCCCUUUAGGCCUACGACUGGAACAAGAACUGGCAUGACCUGCUACACUUUCAUUCUGGCAACAUGGGAAGGUCAAGUAUAACUUGGUUCCUCUCCUCUGCUGUCAACCACGGACCAUCUGCACCUGCAGCGGAGGUGUCAGUAAGCGCUGUGUCACCGCUGUGACUUGUUCGCCACUCCUGAAUUCUUAAGCAUGAAAACAGAAUAAAACACAUGAGGACCUCCUGCAAAAUAGAUGCUUAAAACAAAAGUCAACCCAAAAAGUUAGAGAAAGGAGAGGCACUAUUGAUUAAAAAUCCUCAAACUCAACCAUGAGAACUUAGUAGGUUCAUGGUCUCAUUCGUUCAACUGGGUCCCAAGACACUGGCUGAUCUGUCCUCAAAGGCAGGUGAAAUAUGAAGUUUUGGGCUAAGACAAGUUAUAUUUACAAUAAGUUAAACUACUCCCAAACGUCAUGGGAUGAACAGCUCCUCAGUUAAAUAGAAGUUAUAAAAAUGCACCAUUCUAAAGAUUUAAGAACCCAUGAUUCCACAGA
Chinchilla lanigera (long-tailed chinchilla) is the source of this 835-nucleotide long non-coding RNA. RefSeq lists it as uncharacterized. NCBI's taxonomy places the organism in Eukaryota, Metazoa, Chordata, Mammalia, Rodentia, Chinchillidae. The record is from RefSeq and is a predicted model, not a curated record. The transcript has 7 exons.